Molecule: non-coding RNA, 72 nt
Organism: Trichuris muris
Lineage: Eukaryota; Metazoa; Nematoda; Enoplea; Trichinellida; Trichuridae
Source: Rfam
GGGUUAGUGGUCUAGUGGUAUGAUUCUCGCUUUGGGUGCGAGAGGCCCGGGGUUCGAUUCCCCGCUAACCCC